CAAAAACUUUAUGGGUUCAGAUUGAGUUACAACUCCUAACUCGUAAUGUGCGCCGAGCCAGAAUUUUAGAACUGUUUAUCUGAUUUGAGUGUGUGUAAAUAUCAGUGUAGACAGGAAUAAGCUGGGCACUUAAUCUGCAAGUCUACUGAAUAAUUGUAGAACUGUAUAUAUAGAAGAACAUAACCCUCUACACCUGAGAGUGCAAACUUGGAAUUGUCACACAGAGACAAAAAGCAGCAAUUAUUAUUAUUAUUAUCGCUGGUUUGUUACAGUAGUAGUAAGGGACUCAGUGCACCCCUCUCUAUAGCCAGCCUGUCUUAUAUUCUAAAUAAAUAAGGGCUAAAAAGGAAAUCAAGGUUUCAGUAAUGAAUUAUUCUGCCCAGUCUCUAAGCAGCUCAGGAACAGUGCUUCAAACUGAACCCACAGCUUCUGCAUCUCAGACUCUUCCCUCAUUCCUUGAACCUUUGAUGUCCUUUCAUGUUCUCUGUUACUUACAACGUUUCACUCGCUAUAUUGGUUAAAAUCUCCACUUGAAUCAGGGAGAAAAGAAACCGCUGAAAUUUUAUUCACUUCUAGAACAAAUUAUUCAAACUUUUCUGAAACUUGAAAAAGGUUCUGCUUAGUUUGAAGCAAAGUUGCAGUCAGAGUUUUACUUCAUCUGAACCCUAUCUUACUCCAUGAAUUUAUUUAUUGUAAUUUCUAUUGAUUCUUUCUGCUCUUCUCCAUUGAGUAAUCUGGAGGUCUGCAAAGGAUGGAUUAAGACUUUGAGCUAACAGGCAAUUUUAGGCAUUUAGGCAUUUUGAUUUAUUUUUCCAGUAUGUUUACUCUGAAGUGAAGCUUUGUUUGCUCCCUGAAUAGCGACCAUCAUUCUGAUUUUGUUAUUGCUGCUUAAAAAUUGUUUCUGAAGAUCCCACACGUUUUCUCCAGUGCAUUGAUGAUCUGUGGGUAAGCAUUGAUACAGAGAUCAAAUAAAUGCUAGUUCAGAAAGCAAAAUUACCAUUCCAAAAGACUGUCCUGCUUGUAUCAAUUUAGUAAGCUCAGAUUUAAGAAGACAUUCUCCAGGGCAAUGCUCACCUGCACAUGCAUGAGUUUUAGUGAAGCCCAUGGGAAUGGAACAGCACUAUCUGGUUCCACUUAAGAAGAAAGUCCAUGUCUGGGGGAGGAGGACACAAUAUCUUUGUGUCUUCAAGACCAAACACUGAUUUUUUUCAAAUUGUUCACAAUUACUCAACUUUGUGUUGGCCGGCACAAGGAUGGAAAGGGGGAUUGUAACAGGUGGUGGCUGCUGUUGGAAUAGAUGUGAUGAGGGUAUUGCCUACCUCCCACUUGUCUGACCAGCGCAUGCUCAUGGACAGAGUAUGAUUUGCAACCAACUUAGUGCUGUGGUCUCCUGGAUCCAUUAGCACACCUCUUAGCCUGCUGAGAGGGGAAUAACAGUGCCAGAUUUCUGCUUGACCUGGCAACAAAAUCGGAAGCAAAUCCUUUUUUUCUUUUCUGAACCUGAGCAAGUGGCUGUUUGACAGGGUCUCCUUUCUUCUUGUAAAGUCCAGAGAGAGCAGCGAGCUUUACAAAGAAAAGGUGACACGAGUGAACGGGCAGUGGUUGCUUCUCACUGCAAUGUAGCUGAAACAGGUACAGGGAAUGCAAAGCUCUGAUACUUUCUGUGCUGGAAGAAAUACUCCAAAUAUUCUGAUUUCUAGUUAAUUUUUCUGCCUUUGUAUUUGCUCUGUGGAAGGAGAACCUGCAACGGAUGAAUUUUACCAAGGAACCAACAUCAUGGAGGCAUUUGAACGUGCAUCUCCAUGGCUGGUGAGUGCCUUACCUACCGUUGGUUCUGAGGUUUAUUUUGCUUUUGAACAUAAAAUCUCCUUGAAACUCAAGAAAUCGUCCUGACAAACACUAAUUCAAAACUGAUACGUUUCCACACAAUAAAUUGGUUUACAUAAUCAGUAAUUUCCAGGGAAAACCUGUUCAGGCAAAAAAGUACGCAGGUAUCUCUAUUAAUUGACCUAAUCCUCCACUGCUGGUGAUAACUCAGCACGUGUUAGAUAAGGCCUGCUCAGCUCAUUAAAAGGACAAACUAUCCACAGAGGAGCUUUGGUUUGUGACCAUUAUCUGUCUGAGCGAUUCAUCCUCUACUGCACCAUCCUGUCAAUAGCCAACUGUUUGGCUUGCAUGUUUCUUUUUAAAUAUUUUCUCACCUUUUCAUUAGUCAAUUUUCAUCUUCCCCGAAAACUUUCCUAACCCAGUUAACAGAGGAAACAGCAAUCUGGUAGCUUGUUGGCAAAUCAGGUAACUUUUCUGUGGUAAUUCUUACUGAUCUUCAAAGAGCAGGGUACCCUGCCAUUGGUUUCCCAGCACAACUGAAUUUCUCACUAAUCUCAUCCCUGGCCCAUUUCAAACAGAUGUUUGCAUUUAUGUCAGAUACGCACUAAAUUGGAUACUUUGGGGUGGAGUCCAACACCAGCAAAUUUUCUUCUGACAGUUGUCAGUUGCAUUAUUCAAACCAGCCUAAUGCUGUAUGGCUUCAUGCACAAAAAUGUAAAAUGCUGAUAAUAUCCAUUCCCUUUCUUCUGUAUCUUUGUCUUUCUCCAUUAUUAUAAUUCUGUCCUCUAGCUUUUUUCUCUGCUGAGCUUUCAGGGACCUUCCUAAUCACCAUUAGACACAGUGGGAGAACGGGUGGCAGCGGCGUGGGUAAAAGGCUGUACUGCAUCAUCUUCAUGAGUGACGGCACAACCCAAGCAGCAAACAUAGCUCACUCACUCUGGGGAAAAACUAUUUUAUUUUAGAUAUAGAUGUAUUUAUAUUUAUGUGCAUAUGCUUGUAUGCAUCAAAUAUUAAUUUCUUUUAUUCUAAUUUUCUCUCAUUUGCAUCUCUCCCUGUGCCUCAUCAUUCUGGGGCUGGGGUGGCUUUGCACAAGCGUUGCCUUUGAGGUGGCACAGAGCAAUAUCGUCCCGGCAAAGAAACUGUGUCUGCAGGAGGCCCAAUUCUCACUCUCUUCCUCCCUGGCCCAGGGUGACCGGACUGGGCUGCUGCCCACAUGUCACCCCACGUGCCAGCCAGCCAGCGCUGCAAAGCGCUUGGAUUCAUGUUCCCCAGUGUAGAGGAGCCAACCUCCGAUGCGGAUGGUGCCCUGCGCCCCUGAGCGUGCCAGGCUGCACGGCCGUGCCAAGCGGGUUGAAGCCCACACAGGCAGUCACAAGGAGGUGUCUUGCAAGAACCUCAUGCAGAUGAGAGCAAACCUGGGAGCACACCCUGACCCAGGCCACGAACCAAGACCAUGAUCCCAAAGAGGUGAUGUCCAAGCCUAGAUAUUAGAUGUGACACAAACCACAUCCGAUUAUUAGCCCCUAUAAUUUGUAACAAAUCUCUCCAUUCUUUUUGAUCUGUAUAUGAGGUCCUUUAUGUCCUUAACCAGGGAAAAAAUCACCUUGCCUCCCUCCAUGCUAUAUUGGAGGCCACCAGGUUAAUUCCAUGCUAUAUGCAUGGAUAAAAAGGAGGAUAAGAAGAAAGAGUAGGUCAUGCAGUGGCAAAGGUUGAGAGGCUCUGCUUUAAACACUUUAUGGGAAAUUGUAAAACUUCUAAACAACUUAAUAGAUUAACUUCCCCUUUCAGUGGCAUCAGUAAAACUGAAUUAUCAUCCUCACAUUUAACUGAUGCCUACACCCAAUACUCAUCCAUCAGGGAUCAUUUAGUGAUAAAGCAAUCAAUCCUGCCAUGGUGCAGAGGGGACAAACUAUGCAAGAUACCAUCACCAAAUAUCCUUUCCACCCCAAAGCAUUCUCUGAGUCUUUGUCAAUGAAAGUGCAUUUGUCUAGUCUUAUCUGCUGCUGUAUGCGUGGAAUACAAAGGAAAAAAGUAAAAUAUGCGUUUGAUGUACAUGUGCAGGUGCCAGACGUAUUAUCAACCCAAGGAGGACUGCCUUUUUUCCAGGAACUGAACACAGCACCUGAAAACCAACCACUGCACCACUACCUCAGGUACCAAAUUAAUAGAAACAAAAGCAAACAUGAAGCUGCCUUAAAAUAAUGCUGUGACAUGUGAAGGAUUUGAGGGAACAAUGAGAGAUAAAGUUGAAAAAAUGCGUUUCUGCCUUAUCCUUAUUUUAAAAAAUCUUCUGUGACUUAAGCCAGAAUCUCUAAAAUUCUGGUCAUCUUUUCAUCAUCAGAGCAGGCAAAGUAUGCUUCCCUUUUUUUGACUCCUCACCAGUAACAUUUUUGGGUUUGAUGUUUGCCUUUCUGAUACAUUAAAGAGUUAGAUAUGUAUUGAGAUUACAGCUCAAAAAUAAUUGGGAAAAGUUUUAUAAUUAUUUUAAUCAGCAAGUGUGGUUUAUUAAGGUAUGUAUAAUGUGUACAACUCUAUCAUUUGAACAAAUAACUUUAAAAUAUUUUUUUACUCAAAAUAUCCCAACUCUAAGCAAGAAAUUGUCUAUUUCUACUACAAAACAGGUAGAUUCUUAGUAAUAGGAAACAUGUAUAACUUAUUUUCUAAAACAGAGGUGUUUGAUUUUCAUGCUAACUGUAGUAACAUUUCGGUAUUAUUUGACUAUAAGGUAAAAAAAUCAGAGUAAGUUUAUUUCUCAGCCAGAUAUGAACUGUACUAAGACCAAACUCCUUGGACAUUUUGUGAAUGAUAGCAUGGCUACUGGAGCAAAAGGAAACAUUUCCCCGCUGCUGCUUAGGAGUUGGGAUUUUCAUCAACAGGUUCAGGCUAAAUUAAGAGGUUCAGUGUAGCAGGGUUCUUCAAAGGCUUUGUAGUUGUUCAACUCCAAUUAAAAGUCAAUUGAAUUGGACACGUAAUUCCCAUUUGUGUCUAUGAAAAUCUUUCUUCUAUAAUGUACAGUGUUACAAUUCUGGGCUGAAAAAACAUGUACACAGAAAUGUGUAAAGAAUGCAAUGCAUGUACUUGUUUUGAGGGGUACGGAAAAUAACAGCUUUUAUAUCAAAUGCUUAGCAUUUACACAAAUAACCAGAUAAAAGUAAAUCAAGAUCUUAGUAUCUGCAUUGAUGUAUGUGAUCUAGCACCCAAGAAUUCAUAUGAUUUUUAUGUGUUCUAUAUUGUGUGCCAAAGGGAGCUAUAAGUAGCUCAUGGAGGAUAGCCAGUACAAUACGGACCUGCUGGUGACACAGAACUGAGUAUCUUUUUAAGGGAAUUAACAGGGGCAGCAACCAUAGUGGGGCUCCAAAGUGAUGACAAUAGAAAAUUCUUCGGGGAAGAUAGUCUGACUCUGCAAAAAGUUACUGACAUAUGUAGGACAGUAGAAACAGCCCAAGAGCAAAUGCAAACCCUAUCUAAAGAUCAUGUGGUGAAAUGUAUCAGAAGGAAUUACAGGAGAUGAAAAUGCAAAGGUAAAAUGUAAGGCAGAAUUGUGUGCCGCCUGCUGCAGAGAAAACUGACACACCGCAGCAAUCUGGCCGGGAAGAAGCCAACGGUGUCAGAAUUACAGGGGACACUGGAAGGGCCAGAACCUGAUAUCCAGUCAUCAAUACUUUUGAAUUCAUAUUUAAAUCAGGUUCAAGUGAUCAGACCAAAACCCACCCUGGAGGAUUUUGAUUUUGAGAGAGAUUCACAAGUGGAAGGACUUUUAUUUCUUGCUUCUGACUUGGAUGUGAGUGAAAGUUGCCAGCAGCAGCAGCCGCUCCCUGCAAGCUCCUGUCGUUUGGGGCUGAAAUACUGUCAGAAAUGUUCUUGGACUUUCAAUUUCCCUGGCUAGUGCUGAGCAGACCAAGCUGCCAGUCUGUGCACCUAAAGCAGAAUCCAGCAACCCUAAUACAAACUUCAGGCUUGUAAAUCAGUUAAAGCACCUGGUGACCACUGUGUUUCUCUCAGCAUCCUCUGCCGAGUCGAUCUGGUGUUAAAUACCACGUCCACCAAAGAGCUGCUAAUAGGAAGCGACCCACCAAGAAAGCAGUAGUCCCCCCACCCUGCCUGUGGUCAUGCAAAGUUCCUGAAGGUUCCUUCUUCAGUGGUUUUGACUGGUUUUAUGGAACCUGCGGAUAAACUGUCAUUAAAGAGACUGUCCAGGCUCUGAGAACACAAUAGUAACUAUAAGGAAAAUGAAAACACAUCCUCGAGGUGUGACUCUGUUGAGCACCAUUUGGUCAGCAGCAGUUUCAGACGCUAAAAGCAUGAACAAAAAGUCAGCCCCACUGCCUAAGAACUAUUCCUGCAAGCUUGAAGUCUGGCUUUACCCGGGCGGUGUUAAGCAAUAAAAAGCUCCUGCUAUCAGUAUGCUGAUCACUCAUUUUAUAGAGGACACUAACCAGCACUUCUCUAUAGAGUAAAUACAAGAAGCAUUUCUUAAUUUGGCUAAGCAGUCACUGGCUGAGCAGGAUUUCUGCCAAGAAUUUGUAAACAAUGUAAAGGAAGCUGAAGAAACAGAAACUUGCCCAGUAACAUAAAAUGUGGUGUAAUAUGCACACAUUCUCUGCGUGGACAAACAGGGUGGCACAGAGCAAUAAGGAAAUCAGUGAAAACCUCACAGUUCACACAAACUGUGUGAGAGAGAAGCAUGCGGAGAUGAGGAAAAUCAUUUCUGCAUGGCAUCAGGCAAGAACGGAAAGGCUCACCACUUUCCUCAGCCGCAGGGAUUCGUUACCUGGGUGCAGCCUGGACGCUCACCCGAAGCAAACCAAAUGUAAUUUUGGGCCCUGUGGAGCUCAAGGCCUAUCCUCAUUGUGCAGGGGGUUGCACUUUACCUAAAAAGAGACAAGGCAGGAGGAAUGUGAAGGAAGACACGGAGCCCAGAGGGAACCCCAGGAGCCUCCCACAGCUCCUGAGCUUGCUCCAGCUCUGUGCGGCCGAGGGCACACCUGCGAGCCACACACCCAGUUUACACCCAGCCCCUUGUGACUCCUGUGGUCACCAAAGUGCGAGCGGUAUCUGGAUGCACAGGCUGUCAUAAAAUCUUAUUCCAAUACAUCUUUCUCCAGGCAUCUCAUUUCUUAAAUAGUCCCCCCGGCCCCUGUGAAAACCUUUCUGAGAUCGACUUUUCAAUAUUUUUAACAGUAUUAGAAGCGACUUCUUGCCUCUGUGCAUACAAAUGAUUGUAACUAUCCCUGUUUAUCACUGUGACACAUAUGCGCACUAAUUAGAUAUUCUUUUAUACAUCCAAAUCCCAACUCUUUUGAAAAUCAGAGCCUCCGCUAAGCUCCUCGAAAUGGCUUCUUCCUCCCAGAGAACGCUCUCAAAGCACACCCAUCCCACCACGAGGAAAGGGUGAUGCUAAGGGUGCGAACCAAUGAAUGCUGAUGAAGAAAGCCAAAACAAAACAAGCUUUUGAGGCGUAGUGAUUUCUAAAUAUAAAGUGAGGCUGCAGACUGUAUUUUUACAACUAAGUAAAUGAAACAGUGGGCAGAAGACCCCAGGUGCAUGUCUUCCAUGCGAAUGAUCUUUGUGCUGUGUUACACACAGCCGAGAGAGCUAAAAAGGCACAGGGGCUGCCCAAUGCCCCGGACUUCGGCUCCUCGGGACCCGGCAGAGGACCUCAAGGAUGAAACACGCAGCAGCUGCUGCAUCGCUGGCAGGCAGCGUGCCCCUGCUCGCCUGUGCUUGUGGGGAAGCUGCAGCCUCUAUUCACCCCACACGCUCUGGCAGCAGGAGCCAAGAACAAUGAGAAUGAUUAAAGACCUUCUAGGAGAAAUACUAGGCUGGUCUUUCUCUCUGCCAUGCCAGUUUGUGCACUUGGGACUUGACGUGCUUCACAAGAAAGCAUUGGAGUGACCUUCAGCAGGUGCUCCAGACCCUCAAAGGGUUCAAGGUGCCACCAUAACAGCCUGCAAGGCACUUCCAUUCCUCAGGUAGCCCUGGGAACUGAUCCGCAUCAACAACUAUUAAUAGAGACUUGAAGCUCUCAGACUGACCAUCACCCUGGCUUUCAAACACUGGGCAGCCUAGAAGUCCCAACAGAAAUGGAUCUUUAAAGGAAAAAGAAAGAAGAGUGAGAAGCUGAGAAUCCUUUGCCUUUCAUAUAUGAGAGACAGCACAGAGAAGACCCUUAAGAGGUUUGUAGGAAAAGGAGACCAAAGAGUCCUGAUGCAGUACCGAAUAAAAUCAUAGGUACCUGUUCAACAUUCACAAUAUGUGACACUUUAGUGUCCAAAUUAGAAACGGAUGAAUUCCACUUGCUCAUGUUUACUAUCAGCCACAUCACUGAAUAUAUUUUAAAAAUGGCAGUGUUUUAAGAACAGAGUUGGAGUGAAGGUGCACAAGUUGGGAGAGUCAGUCAUCCCCAGUAUCUUUUUGUUUGGUUGGUUUUUGGCUUCUGUUAAAGCAGAUUAAAAGGGGUAAGCUCAAACCCUUAAUUAUGAGUUAAUUCAUCUGGUCAGUCUGAAUGGGAAAAGUAAACAGCAAAGAUGUAGAUAGAUGUCUUAAUUUGGAUAUUUGCUCACCAGUUGCCUUCAGCAUCUGUCAUUUCUACUUAAUGUUGUCCAUCGUGAAUACUCCAUGUUAUACUACGUUUUAUGUGAAACCUCUCCCCAUAUGCCAUUUUUACUUGAGAUACAUACAAAUUCCACUAAUUUCAUUUGGAACUGUGCAACUUAAUUCUUUACUCAGCUUUGAAAACCUAAAGCGUGGGUCCUUGUAACAUUAUCUUCAUGGCUGACAGCCCUUUCCUGCUCUCGCCGCCCACUUGCUUCCUUUCAGUCACACAGAUCAUCAGUCUUCUAGUUUUUGGUGACACGGGUAUCACUGACAUAUUAUUUCUAGUCACCUUAAUCUGCAGUUCUUUCUUUCUUUUUAUUUUCUGUAGCAUAUGCUUCCAUCGUUUUUCUUAUCAGACACAACUGUUUUAUACAAGCACUUUUUAGCCCAUAUUUUAGGCUGCCUGUGAUACAUUUCCUUGUGAAUAACCUUUUCCCAGUUUUAUAGAAUGAGAAGUUUAAGGUGAAUAUCCUAAAAUAAAAAAAGGAGAAAAAACCCCACACCUUCCUUCAAGGUGAGAUCUAUUCCACUGCAGAGAAUGUGCUGGAUGAUGCACUGCACGGGACAAUCCUGCCUUGCCAGGAAGAUGUACACAGUAGAGGUGAGUGGUUUUGAGGAGACAAUGCAGCUGUGUCUCUUAUUAUCCACGUUCUCCAUCACAGCAAGGAAGUUCUGCAUAUGCACGUUUAUCUCAAGAGUAUUCUGCCAAAAUGUAAUUGCUGCAGGUGUAUAAAUGGGCUGUCUUCUCAGGCCUUUUGGUAAGCUUUAAUUCUAUUUUUAUAAAAUCCCUUCUAAAAUAUUGCUCUCUGGGGCAGGCCCUGUCUGUAUGAUCUGUGUUUGUACAGCUCAGUGGGAUCUUGAUCUGUGACUCAGUGUCCUGGAUGCUAGCAGACAAAAAUAAAACAAAAAUAUAUAAAAAUGUUACUCACUAAGCCAAAGUUUCUACCAGGCAAAAGAUUCAAGUCCUAGACUUAAUAAAGUAAAUACCAAGAAAUUCUGACUAGUGUUUGUGAGGGAUGUAGUGCUGAUAUGAAAUCAUGCUCUGGCAACUGAUUUGUAACCAAUUUAUGAGCACAGGUUGUUACCUGCACACUAAGGGGAGGUUAUUGUACAUCUGGAUUUUAAGACUCUGCAGAACAGUUGCAAUGAUCAUACAUAAAUGGAAACUAUUUGAAAAAUGAGCAUAUAAUGAAAUAGCAUUCUCCAGAUGAGCACUCCAGAGGCAAUGCCUGGGGUAGACAUAACUGAAUAAUGUUCAUCUAAGGCAAUGUGAUAAAACUGUUUUGUACGUUGAAGAUCUAGAGAAGAGAACGCUGAAAUGUUAGAGAGGCUUCUGAGGAGGACAAGGAGGUGGACAGUCCCUGUGCUCUAGCAUGGAAGGAGGCUCUUCAACUGGUCUGUGAGAAGCAGCACUAUUUGGGAGACGCUUGUGUAUCAGGUAAGGUAAAUGUGUAUUCAUACACAGAGUGUUUUUAAGAGGUAAUUUCUCUAACUGGACAAGUGUGAGCGUUGAAUCUCUGGUUACUAAUUUUAUAGCCUCUGAAGAGAUUAAAAAUUCCCCAUCUACUCAGAUCUGUUAAAUCUCUGUUAACACAACUCACGUUCUAGUCUGAAGAUGGGAGGAUAGCGUGAGCCAUCCUGAAUGAGAUGACAACUGAGGCCAAAGCUCUGAGAAAUCUGCACCCAGAGGCACCAGGAGACCCAUGACAUACCAGAUAAUGUGAGAUGGGGUUUAUGUCCUGUCUUAAAAAACAGCCAUUAUAACUUUCUGCAACAUGUAUGGAAUUUUGCAUUUUUAAAAGCCAUCCUACGUGAACUACUUCAUCUUCUAACUCCUGAGGAAUGUGUGGUAGGCACCGUGGGCAAGCAUGAAUGAUUGUAGCAGGAUAUUAACACUUUGGUUCCAUGCACUGAAUACAAUGACAAUUUCCCACUGUCUUCACUGGAAAGUGGAAUGACUCCCCAGACGGGAAGCAGAAUACAUUCAUAUUCUUCCUUGUCUCUUGGAGAAGAACAAGACAAAGGAGGUGGUUCCAGGACUCCAAUAUCUCACACAACUCAACUACACCUGAUUAUUAUUUGCUUCUCACAACCUGAAAAGAAACCCACUACCAGAUUUGUCUGUCUCAGCCCUGCUGAAGCUGAAUACUUUCAUACAUAUGUAUGGAUAGCUUAAGUUUUUAUGAGCAUAAUUUGGGCUUUUCAAAAUAGUGACACAAUAACAAAGCAAAAUUGAGACAUGCAUGUAAUUUGAAUACUGAUUUGGUUUUAUCUCUUCCUGGUGCUGGCACUUUUGAUGCUGCUCUUUUCCAUUCCAUCUUCUUUCUGUUCUUAUUUCCCAAUGAAUGGAAUUAGUUGUGAGUGCAUUUGCUGCUUCUACCAACCAAAUAUGAAACCUGAAGAAAUAUGUAUCUAUGACCUCCCUAAGAGUUUUGGACAGUUACUCAUUUACUGCUAUCUCUUGAGUUUUCUAUCGAUUACUUAAAGACACAUUCCUGCUCCUCUUGUCAAAUAGGAAAAUGAGCACUGUCAGAUGGUUAUUGCCAUUUUUUGUGGUAUUUUCAAUACCCUAAGCCCUUAUUUUUAUUUACAGCAAUGCAGCAUUUCAAGGAGGUUACUGAAAAGAAUGCCUUUUGAUUGUAUUUCAGGUCAAAUACCCUCAGUGAGCUGUUUGCAUCAAUUCACAGACACAGGGCAGGAUUCCCAGUGCUCUCCUGGAGCGUGUGGAAGGAACUCCACCAGCCGUCCUGGGGGUCACAAUAGUCACAGUCACGUCUGCCUCUGCUGCUGGAUCAUCUUGCAAGUUUAGAGUCAUUAAAAGGUAGUCUAUGGUAGAGAACUAGGUAUGAUAAAACUCUGCCAUGUCUCCUCACUCUUUUUUGAGGUUUAUGAGUAGCAGGCAAAACCCCAGACCUGUCACACCUAUGCAACGGCACAGAGGUGCCUCGCAUGCAGCGGCAGGCAGAUCCAAACAGUUUAGCAUUGUGGAGAAUCUGGUCCUAAAAUCUAUCCAUAAAAAGUAGUCACUUAAUAAUUUCAGAAAGAAAACUAAAAAUGCUUAGGGGCAAUCUAUGAACAGAAAAAGGGGGUUAAAUUCACCUAAUAAAUUAUUUGCAGACUGAAUAAUUCAUGGAAAAUCCAGGGUGCAUUUAGAAGGGUUUGAUUUGGUAUGUCAGCCUCCUCUGGAGAGUGAAGCUACCUCAAAAACUCUGCAUAUUCUAAGGUAUCAUUUUGGGCAUGUUACCACAGCAGAAUUUCUGUCUGGAACCAGAUGCGUGGUUCAAGUUUCUUGUCCCUGACACCAGCCACUACCUUAAAAUAGAGAGAAAACUGCAAGAAAAAUCUUACAACUGGUCUAUUCUGUCACUAUCUAACAUUUGCCCAGGUGGCCAAGGCGGCCAGCAGCAGCCCGGCUCGUGUCCCAGACGGUGUGGCCAGCAGGGCCAGGGCAGGGACUGUCCCCCAGCACCUGGCACUGGUGCGGCCGCACCAUGAAUCCUGUGUUCAGUGCCGGGCCCCUCACUGCCAGAGGGACAC
This is a long non-coding RNA of Falco peregrinus (peregrine falcon), 11961 nucleotides long. RefSeq lists it as uncharacterized. The record is from RefSeq and is a predicted model, not a curated record. Lineage: Eukaryota; Metazoa; Chordata; Aves; Falconiformes; Falconidae. The transcript is spliced from 3 exons.